CGAGCGCCCCGCAGGGGAGCGGCAGACGGGUGAGUAACGCGUGGGAACGUACCUUUUGCUACGGAAUAACUCAGGGAAACUUGUGCUAAUACCGUAUGUGCCCUUCGGGGGAAAGAUUUAUCGGCAAAGGAUCGGCCCGCGUUGGAUUAGCUAGUUGGUGAGGUAAAGGCUCACCAAGGCGACGAUCCAUAGCUGGUCUGAGAGGAUGAUCAGCCACACUGGGACUGAGACACGGCCCAGACUCCUACGGGAGGCAGCAGUGGGGAAUAUUGGACAAUGGGCGCAAGCCUGAUCCAGCCAUGCCGCGUGAGUGAUGAAGGCCCUAGGGUUGUAAAGCUCUUUCACCGGUGAAGAUAAUGACGGUAACCGGAGAAGAAGCCCCGGCUAACUUCGUGCCAGCAGCCGCGGUAAUACGAAGGGGGCUAGCGUUGUUCGGAUUUACUGGGCGUAAAGCGCACGUAGGCGGACUUUUAAGUCAGGGGUGAAAUCCCGGGGCUCAACCCCGGAACUGCCUUUGAUACUGGAAGUCUUGAGUAUGGUAGAGGUGAGUGGAAUUCCGAGUGUAGAGGUGAAAUUCGUAGAUAUUCGGAGGAACACCAGUGGCGAAGGCGGCUCACUGGACCAUUACUGACGCUGAGGUGCG
Molecule: ribosomal RNA, 643 nt
Filed under: Ochrobactrum sp. BA8
Lineage: Bacteria; Pseudomonadati; Pseudomonadota; Alphaproteobacteria; Hyphomicrobiales; Brucellaceae
Description: bacterial SSU rRNA
Rfam family: Bacterial small subunit ribosomal RNA
Source: RNAcentral